CAGCAGCCACGGGAAUACAGAGGGUGCGAGCGUUAAUCGGAUUUACUGGGCGUAAAGCGCACGCAGGCGGUCUGACAAGUCAGAUGUGAAAUCCCCGGGCUUAACCUGGGAACUGCAUUUGAAACUGUCAGGCUGGAGUCUUGUAGAGGGGGGUAGAAUUCCAGGUGUAGCGGUGAAAUGCGUAGAGAUCUGGAGGAAUACCGGUGGCGAAGGCGGCCCCCUGGACAAAGACUGACGCUCAGGUGCGAAAGCGUGGGGAGCAAACAGGAUUAGAUACCCCUGUAGUCCCUGUCUCUUAUAC
Molecule: ribosomal RNA, 301 nt
Filed under: uncultured bacterium
Lineage: Bacteria
Description: partial 16S ribosomal RNA
Rfam family: Bacterial small subunit ribosomal RNA
Source: RNAcentral